ACGAGUGUGCCGAAAUGGUAGCCGGGUGAAUCUUAGGAAUUCAUGAUUUUCGGAUCGUAAGAGUUCAAGUCUCUUUGCUCGUA
RNAcentral lists this transfer RNA (83 nucleotides) under Taiwanofungus camphoratus. Its description in RNAcentral is "tRNA-Leu". Lineage: Eukaryota; Fungi; Basidiomycota; Agaricomycetes; Polyporales; Taiwanofungaceae. The record is from RNAcentral. RNAcentral also lists the same sequence under 1 other name.